This is a long non-coding RNA of Rosa rugosa (rugosa rose), 703 nucleotides long. RefSeq lists it as uncharacterized. The record is from RefSeq and is a predicted model, not a curated record. The transcript has 2 exons. NCBI's taxonomy places the organism in Eukaryota, Viridiplantae, Streptophyta, Magnoliopsida, Rosales, Rosaceae.
UUUUACAUUCUACUACCAAAAAUAAGUGUAUAUAUAUACACCUCUCGAUCUCUCUUUCUAAACAUUUUAUUUUCAAAAGUAAACUUACAUCUUUUACUGGUUUCUGAAUACCUUAUCCAAAAAAUGAACACAAGUGAGCUCUCGACCGUUGCAGUACCAUAUCCUGCUCCUCCCAAUUCCGGUACUGCUAGUGCCCCGGGACGGGAUCGUUAUGCGGCUCCAUCAUGGUACCACCUCUAAGUGCCGGUUAUGCUACAGAUGAUAUUUCUCAGGGGUCUGCAGGCAAAACCGUUGACCCGGAGAAAAAGGAAGACAAAAAAGCAGGCUGCUGCUGUCGCGCUAUCAAGUGUAUCUUGUGCUGCGGGCUGCAGCACUGCUUGUUAGCCAUGUUAGCCAUGUUAGGUUGCUCAUGAACCCCAACCGAAUGAACGGCGUACGUCCGUUCAUUAUGUUGAAAAUAAUAGUUUGUGCUUCUAUUAUCAUAUUAUAAUGUUCAGUUCUUAUUCUCGAUCGUGUAAUCAUUGUACAAUUAAUCGAUCAUCCUUGUUAUGAGUUGAUCAUGAUCGAUGAUUCGAUUAAUUGAUGUCCUUUCUUUCUCAUUUAAGUUAUUAACUUGUUAUUAUGUUCAGUUCUUAUUCUCGUGUGAUCAUUGUACAAUUAAUCGAUCAUCCUUGUUAUGAGUUGAUCAUGAUCGAUGAUUCAA